This 1120-nucleotide long non-coding RNA is filed under the name Brassica napus (rape). RNAcentral describes it as "long non-coding RNA (BNAP_LNC001015)". Lineage: Eukaryota; Viridiplantae; Streptophyta; Magnoliopsida; Brassicales; Brassicaceae. The record is from RNAcentral.
GACACACACUACAUAGAUAUAGGAAUCAAAAUUCAAUCACGGACUCCAUUUAAUGGGUGUGUGUUGCCUUUAUGAUAUAGGGGCUAAAGGAUCGAGCAUGUGAAGUGAUAUCUAAGUUUGCAUUAUAACCAGACGACAAAAAACACCCAAAAAUUAUUGAAUUGCAGGUCACGAGAGACAGUAACCAUUAGCUAAAAAUCUAAUGAAAAGUUUAUGAAACUAUCCCAAAAAAGGGAGGAUACGGAAGGAUAAAUAAUCUUGUUUAACACGGUAUCUCCUUGCACGGUGUAGUUUCUUUGGUUUCCUGGAACACAACCAUCGCCUGGUAAGAAAAAAAUCAUGGAGGAUAAGACAAUGAAGAUCGUCUCAAAUCAUGUUCAAGAAAAAAUAUUAACUAUAUAUUUAACAGUGAAAUGAAAUAAUUUUAAAAGUUAAUAGUUUUAUAAUCAUAUAUAUUUGAGGUUUUUCUUCGAAUUAUAAAUUAUAUUUAUAAGAAUACAUUAAAAAUUGAAAUUUUAAACCAAAUUUAUAUAUUUAGUUUGAAUUUUUUUUUAAUAUAUUUUUAUUUUUAGAUUCGAGUCUUGUUCGACCGCUCCACUAACACGUGCUAUUAGACGAUCCUGGUUCCAGGUGGUUCCAGGUGGAGGUGGUGGGUAUAAGACAAGAUUCACGUACAAAUGAGAAAGAGCAAUAGUCAAUUCGUGAGGAGGUGCAUUGAGGGUGUAUUCUCAAACAGAGAUAUGGAACGUGUCAAAAAUUAGUUUCAACUUUCAAGUUAGGUUCUAAACCAGCUAGUAAACCCUAAACCACUAUGUUGAGCAGAGUAUAGCCAGUCCAUGCAACAAGCCUUGAUAAUUUACGGUUUGAUCAUAGUACCGUGGCAAUUUUUUUAUAGAAAAUCAAACAGAUAGUUGAAGCCGGAUACCUUGAGGUGAGACAAGAGCUUAGUGCAGGUAGGUAGGUAGGGUAUCGAAAUCCAUCCCCGCCUGGCCGCCUUGAACCCCUCUCGAACUGCUGCUAGACCUCCGUUAGUUGUGGUUCUUGUGGAAUCCAUCUCUUCCUCCCAGAGUCGAUGUGAAUGAAUAUAAAAUAAUUACUCUUUGCCUUUUUUUUCUCUAUU